ACCUCGCCUGGUAUACAGGAGCCUCGUGGUUUCGAUCCUGACCCCGAUUCCACGUUGGGCUAGGGAGAUGUUAACUACCUCGCCUGGUAUACAGGAGCCUCGUGGUUUAGAUCCUGACCGCGAUUCCAUGUUGGGCUAGGGAGAUGUUAACGACCUCGCCUGGUAUACAGGAGGUCGUGGCUUCAAUCCUGACCCCGAUUCCACGUUGGGCUAGGGAGAUGUUAACUACCUUGCCUGGUAUACAGGAGCCUCGUGGUUUCGAUCCUGACCCCGAUGCAACGUUGGGCUAGGGAGAUGUUAACUACCUCGCCUGUUAACAGGAGGUCGUGGCUUAGAUCCUGACCCCGAUUCCACGUUGGGCUAGGGAGAUGUUAACGACCUCGCCUGGUAUACAGGAGGUCGUGGCUUAGAUCCUGACCCCGAUUCCACGUUGGGCUAGGGAGAUGUUAACUACCUCGCCUGGUAUACAGGAGCCUCGUGGUUUAGAUCCUGACCCCGAUGCCCCGUUCGGCUAGGGAGAUGUUAACUACCUCGCCUGGUAUACAGGAGCCUCGUGGCUUCGAUCCUGACCCCGAUGCAACGUUGGGCUAGGGAGAUGUUAACUACCUCGCCUGGUAUACAGGAGCCUCGUGGCUUAGAUCCUGACCCCGAUUCCACGUUGGGCUAGGGAGAUGUUAACUACCUCGCCUGGUAUACAGGAGCCUCGUGGCUUAGAUCCUGACCCCGAUUCCACGUUGGGCUAGGGAGAUGUUAACUACCUCGCCUGGUAUACAGGAGCCUCGUGGCUUAGAUCCUGACCCCGAUUCCACGUUGGGCUAGGGAGAUGUUAACUACCUCGCCUGGUUGCACAGGAGGGUCGGUGGCUAGGAGAUGGAACCCGCGACCUCCUGUAUAUACCACCUUGCAAUAGAUGUCCAGCUCGACUUAUCUUAAAAAGCAAAAGGCCUUGGCACGUGGUAGAUUACAGGGGGGGGGGGGGUGGGGGGCUCCUCUACCUACGAACUUUCGACUUGACGGACUUGGAGAGAGCUCUACGUCCAGCUGCCUGUUGGGACCCGGCAGUCGUGAGUUCAACUGCCGUGCAAUUGAUGGUGGUGGUGGCGUCUACAUCUGUAGAACGACCAAUCGGUGGCGGUGUCUACAUCUGUAGAACGACCAAUCGGUGGGGUCUACAUCUGUAGAACGUGACCAAUCGGUGGUGGCGUCUACAUCUGUAGAACGUGACCAAUCGGUGGUGGCGUCUACAUCUGUAGAACGUGACCAAUCGGUGGGGUCUACAUCUGUAGGUCGUGACCAAUCGGUGGUGACGGUGUCUACAUCUGUAGGUCGUGACCAAUCGGUGGCGGCGUCUACAUCUGUAGGUCGUGACCAAUCGGUGGUGACGUCUACAUUUGUAGGUCGUGACCAAUCGGUGGCGGCGUCUACAUCUGUAGGUCGUGACCAAUCGGUAGCGGCGUCUACAUCUGUAGAUCGUGACCAAUCGGUGGUGGUGUCUACAUCUGUAGGUCGUGACCAAUCGGUGGUGGUGUCUACAUCUGUAGAACGUGACCAAUCGGUGGUGGCGUCUACAUCUGUAGGUCGUGACCAAUCGGUGGUGGCGUCUACAUCUGUAGGACGACCAAUCGGUGGCGGCGUCUACAUCUGUAGAACGACCAAUCGGUGGCGGCGUCUACAUCUGUAGAACGACCAAUCGGUGGCGGUGUCUACAUCUGUAGAACGUGACCAAUCGGUGGCGGUGUCUACAUCUGUAGGUCGUGACCAAUCGGUGGGGUCUACAUCUGUAGGUCGUGACCAAUCGGUGGGGUCUACAUCUGUAGAACGUGACCAAUCAGUGGUGGUGUCUACAUCUGUAGGUCGUGACCAAUCAGUGACGUCUACAUCUGUCGGUCGUGACCAAUCGGUGGUGACGUCUACAUUUGUAGGUCGUGACCAAUCGGUGGCGGCGUCUACAUCUGUAGGUCGUGACCAAUCGGUGGCGGCGUCUACAUCUGUAGGUCGUGACCAAUCGGUGGCGACGUCUACAUCUGUAGGUCGUGACCAAUCGGUGGCGACGUCUACAUCUGUAGGUCGUGACCAAUCGGUGGUGACGUCUACAUCUGUAGGUCGUGACCAAUCGGUGGUGACGUCUACAUCUGUAGGUCGUGACCAAUCGGUGAUGGCGUCUACAUCUGUAGGUCGUGACCAAUCGGUGGCGGCGUCUACAUCUGUAGGACGACCAAUCGGUGGCGGCGUCUACAUCUGUAGGACGACCAAUCGGUGGCGGCGUCUACAUCUGUAGAACGACCAAUCGGUGGCGGCGUCUACAUCUGUAGAACGACCAAUCGGUGGCGGCGUCUACAUCUGUAGAACGACCAAUCGGUGGCGGCGUCUACAUCUGUAGAACGACCAAUCGGUGGCGGCGUCUACAUCUGUAGAACGACCAAUCGGUGGCGGCGUCUACAUCUGUAGAACGACCAAUCAGUGGUGGCGGCGUCUCCAUCUGCUGGAGAUUCUGCAACUCUUUAAAGCCAUUCCCCCCCCCACACCGCGUUUAGCGUACAACGCCGUACCCGACUGGUUUUGGACCGACCUUGACGACCACAGACCUCCUGAAACCCAACUCUUUCGAGAAUUAGAGGAAUCCCUGUAAUGAAAAUAAACCAAAAACCAUCCUUCCUCCCCUCCACCCCCCUAUCCUUAGAUAGAUCCUUUCUCUUUCCCACCUAAACCACCAAAUAGCCACGGGAACAAGGGGGCGGCGGGUGGUAGAUAUGGUUGUUGGUUGUGGCAGGGGGGUGUGGUGUGUGUGUGUGUUUUUUUUAGACCCGGGCAGAACGGUGUUGUGGGUCUGUCUCUCUCUCUGUGUGUGUGCGCGUGAACCAAAAUCUGUGCGGGUGGUGCAAAUCGUCACGCUCAGCAGAAGAAGAAGAUGAUGAUGAUGAAUGUACGGGUGGUAGUUUUUAUUACCUCACUUUUUUGUUGUUAAAUUUUUCAGACCAAUUCGUGUUUGAUCUCUUGUCCUACCUCACGUCGUAAUGACGACAACGGUGAAUUAACGUCGCUUUUUUUUUUAGAGAGAGAUUGUUAAGCUUUUAUUUUUUCUGAGGUCGUGUUUUUUUUAAAAAAAUAUAAAUCGUUUUUCUUUUUAAAGUUUUGGCAAACUUUUGAGUCGUUACAGGUGACGUUGUUGUUGACGUUGUUGUUGGGUUUGCUUUGUUUUAAAUCGUCACGUUUUGUUGAAAUGGUUUUUGGUUCUGAACGAGUUGGGGGUGGGGGGCGCGGGGUUGUUCGCGAGGCUUAAAAUUUGAGGUUUAAACCGCGCGCAAAAUUGGCGGCCGUUUUUAAUCUCCCUGCGAAAAAAAAUAUUUUUUCGGUAAACUUUGAAAACUUUUAAAAAUCAAUUUUCCAGCACGAUGUUUUCCUCACGGAACUUUUUAAAAAUAAAUAAAUCUGGACGCCUUAUUUUUGUUUUUUUACGUGAUGAGGAAUCGCAAUUUUUUUAAGGGUGGGGGGGGAUAUUCUGAGGUAAUUAAUAUGGCAGCUAUUCGGAUUCCGUGAAUGUAUAAUUGUCAUCGUAAUUACUUGAAUUGUCGUUCUUAAAAUUGGGCAAAAUUCGUUGAUCUCAUUGCGUUGUGGGGCGAAACGAGGAGGGGGAAAAAACAAAUUCGGCGGCCAUUUUUUUUGACUGCCUCAAGAAAUUUUCCCACCAAAAAAAAACGUGGCGGUCGCCAUUUUGUGGAGGGGGGGAGAGGGAGGGGCUCGGGGGCGUGGUAACCCCUCCCACCCUCCCCCCCUCCCCCCAUCGGCUCGUGAGGUCAAAGGUCAAGUCGAGGUCUGGUGCGCCCUCCCCCCCCCCAUUCUCGCUCCUGCCAAAAAUUAUCAGAACAAAAACCAAU
This is a non-coding RNA of Petromyzon marinus (sea lamprey), 3875 nucleotides long. NCBI's taxonomy places the organism in Eukaryota, Metazoa, Chordata, Hyperoartia, Petromyzontiformes, Petromyzontidae. The record is from RefSeq and is a predicted model, not a curated record.